ACGCUCGACACCUACGGAGGCAGCAGUGGGGAAUAUUGCACAAUGGGGGAAACCCUGAUGCAGCGACGCCGCGUGAGCGAAGAAGUAUCUCGGUAUGUAAAGCUCUAUCAGCAGGGAAGAAGAAUGACGGUACCUGACUAAGAAGCUCCGGCUAAAUACGUGCCAGCAGCCGCGGUAAUCUGAGCGGGCUGGCAAGGC
RNAcentral lists this ribosomal RNA (198 nucleotides) under uncultured bacterium. Its description in RNAcentral is "partial 16S ribosomal RNA". It matches the Rfam family "Bacterial small subunit ribosomal RNA", at positions 328 to 539 of the family's 1533-position model. The record is from RNAcentral.